Molecule: unclassified non-coding RNA, 253 nt
Filed under: uncultured Rickettsiales bacterium
Lineage: Bacteria; Pseudomonadati; Pseudomonadota; Alphaproteobacteria; Rickettsiales
Description: contains 16S-23S intergenic spacer region
Rfam family: Bacterial small subunit ribosomal RNA
Source: RNAcentral
UACGAAGGGUGCUAGCGUUGUUCGGAAUCACUGGGCGUAAAGCGCGCGUAGGCGGCUUGCCAAGUCAGGGGUGAAAUCCCGGGGCUCAACCUCGGAAUUGCCUUUGAAACUGGUAGGCUAGAGUAUUGGAGGGGAGUGCGGAAUUUCUAAUGUAGCGGUGAAAUGCGUAGAUAUUAGAAGGAACACCGGUGGCGAAGGCGGCACUCUGGACAAUUACUGACGCUGAGGCGCGAAAGCGUGGGGAGCAAACAGG